RNAcentral lists this ribosomal RNA (561 nucleotides) under uncultured bacterium. Its description in RNAcentral is "bacterial SSU rRNA". It matches the Rfam family "Bacterial small subunit ribosomal RNA", at positions 777 to 1339 of the family's 1533-position model. The record is from RNAcentral.
AAUAGAUACCCAGGUAGUCCACGCCGUAAACGAUGGAUACUAGGUGUUCGGUGGAUUAACCCACUGAGUACCGGAGUUCACACAUUAAGUAUCCCGCCUGGGGAGUACGGUCGCAAGGCUAAAACUCAAAGGAAUUGACGGGGGCCCGCACAAGCGGUGGAGUAUGUGGUUUAAUUCGAAGCAACGCGAAAAACCUUACCUGGCCUUGACAUCUCUUGAUAGCCGUGGAGACACGGUUUUGACUUCGGUCACAGGAUGACAGGUGCUGCAUGGCUAUCGUCAGCUCGUGUUGUGAAAUGUUCGGUUAAGUCCGGCAACGAGCGCAACCCCUGUCCUUAGUUACCAGCAUUAAGUUGGGGACUCUAGGGAGACUGCCGGUGUUAAACCGGAGGAAGGCGGGGAUGACGUCAAGUCCGCAUGGCCCUUACGGCCAGGGCUACACACGUACUACAAUGGCAGAAACAAACCGUCGCGAAACUGUAAAGUGGAGCUAAUCGGAAAACACUGUCCCAGUCCGGAUUGAGGUCUGCAACUCGACCUCAUGAAGUUGGAAUCGCUAGU